ACUGAGAUAGUCGAAUGAUAUCUUCGUUUUAGUUUCUAGGGUUCAUAUCUCCAUAAUCAUAACACAGGAGAACCUUGUUCGAAAGAAAAGUCGCUUUCGUUAUCAUAAUAUGUAUGUUUCGGUGAGCUUGUUGCGCUUGGGGGACAAGUAGAAGCCGAAGCACCAUGAAAAUGGAGGUUGAAUUCAGUCUCAGGUGUGCGUAUCUCUCUUUUUCCAUCUCCGAAUUCACUUUUUCUAACUGUGUAAGAAUGAUAGUCUUUCUUGUCGAAAUGUCUUAUAAGCAGUACAAUCUUGUUCCAAAGAGAUCCUUCAUAGCUGCUGCUGAAGAAGUGCCUUUGCUCAUAUAUGAAGAUAAUAAUAUAGACUAGCAGAGCUAGAAACGAGGCUGUUAAAGCUAUUAAAAACAAUCCCCUGAAACUGUCCAGUCCUAGACUGUUGGAAGACAGUGAGUUUUUGCACUGUUAACAUUGAAGUUAAGCUAGCAGUGAAGCUCUGAACCAGUAUAAGGAACACGAAGCACCAUAUGAUCACUACGAACCUUCCCAAAUUACUUACUAUCUUCUCCCCUGAAUAAAAGGAGAAAAUUAUGUGCAUUUUGUGAUUUUUAAUAUUUUCAAUCUUAUGCAGGAGAAGGUAAAGGAGAGAUUACUGUGCGCAAAAACCAUGGUUGAGAAUGAGAACCAAAAGAUUGUUCCAGCUUGAUGAGAAGGUGGUCCUCUGAAUUCUUCGUUUACUCGAUGUUCGAGAAUCCAAACAAUAAACCCAAUGAAGGCAAACAAGCAGAAACUUGUCACCCAAAGCUCCCAAGUAAGUGGUCUCAAAAACAUCCAUGUAUUUUUCCUCGUUUUAUCAUUAAUAGGGACAAUCAUGAUUACCCCGCUUUCGGUGUAAGGAAGCGUAAAAUCCACGUAGUUCGAUCUGUUACCUCUGAUCGUUACAUCUCCCACAACAGCAUCAAAUUUCUGUUCAUCAAAUAGUUCUAAAUAUCAAUUAAGCAACACCACCAAAAGAAGGGCUGUACAGAUAUGAAAUCGUUAAAGGAUCUAUUAUCGUCGUUGAUCA
This is a long non-coding RNA of Impatiens glandulifera, 1062 nucleotides long. RefSeq lists it as uncharacterized. The record is from RefSeq and is a predicted model, not a curated record. The transcript is spliced from 3 exons. Lineage: Eukaryota; Viridiplantae; Streptophyta; Magnoliopsida; Ericales; Balsaminaceae.